Molecule: long non-coding RNA, 6352 nt
Filed under: Sus scrofa (pig)
Lineage: Eukaryota; Metazoa; Chordata; Mammalia; Artiodactyla; Suidae
Description: lncRNA (ENSSSCG00050000484.1)
Source: RNAcentral
UUUUUUUUUUUGGUAUGUAGACUAUUUCUCUAUGUUUGCUAUUUUGGAAUAAACAUGCCAGUCCAAGGGAAUUUGCAUUUUAUGUGUGGCUGAAUGCUGAUAGAUUAUUCUUCUGGAAGACCAAUCUGCUUACCACCCCCGUCUGUCUCAUUGUGAGAAAGUCCAUGUCCCCCUGCCCAUGGCGACACUCCAUAGCAUCAAGACUUUUCCUUUUUAGCCCUUUUGAAACUUUUUAGUGUGUGGGUUGCAUUUCCCUGAUGACCAUACAGCUGAGCAUCUUUUCCCGGCCCCUGGCCACUCAUAUUGGCUCAGUGUGGAUUGUCUUUUUCCAUCCUUGCCAAGUCUGCUAUUGAGUUACUUAUCUUACCCGAUGCCUCGGUAGAUAAGAAUCCAACAUAGUGUCUGUGAGGAUUAAGGUUCAAUUCCUGGCAUUGCUCAUGGGUUAAGGAUCAGGUGUUGCUGCAAGCGGCAGUGUAGGUCGCAGAUGCAGCUUGGAUCUAAUGUUGCCAUGGUUAUGGCUAUGGCAUAGGCUGGCAGCUGCAGCUUCCAUUCACCCCCUAGCCUGGGAACGUCCAUAUGCUGCAGGUGCAGUCGUGAAAAGAAAAAAAAAGAUCUGGUUCCUGGCCACACUCUUAACCAGCUUUGUGACCAUGAGUUAGUCAAUGCUCCUUUGAGUGCCUCCAAGUUUACAUCUAUAAAGAAGGCACUUGAACAACCUAUUCCUUUUAUAACUCUUUAGUUUGAAACCUGGCAUCUCUCUGUAGCAAGGAGUUCCCACCCCAUUGGGACUUCCUUCAGCCCUUUGGGCUUAUUUUUAAUUAACUAACUAUCAGAACUCUUACAGGUCGAAUCUGAUGAUGAUCAGCGGCUCCCUCUGAGGCCCCUAGCCUGGCCCUCCAUCCCAGCCUGCUCCCACACAGGUCUCCAUCUCACAAGCACAGGCUGUCAGGUGGGGCGGCCGCCCCUGCAGUUCAGCACCUGCUAGCUGGACAGUUCCCGGGGGCACUGGUGGGGCAGGGGGUGCUGGGAAAGCUGCAGAGUACCAGGAGGGUGGGGCAUCUCUUCACCAAUAAAGGCCCACCAGGCAGCACCCCCCCUUCUGCAAGCCAACCCCCUUCCAGACUUGAGACUCUAGAACCCCUCGGUCACCCGAGGCUCCAGGUGCUCCAGAAUCCAGAAGUUAGCCUGUAGCCCCGGUCCUCAGUGAACAAGGUCUCCUCUGAGCUCUCUCACAAUGGGUAUGGGUCUCUGUCUCGGGGAUGCUGGACUUCAGCUCACAGCCUUGUGAAAUCAAGGGAUGGCCCUAACUACAAACAGGUAUUUGUCUAAAUAUGUCAAAUGGAGAAGAAGGGUCACGUGCCAGGAAUGAAGAGAGCUGGACUUUUUGUCUGCUCUGUCACAGCCAGUGGGACAAUGCCAGGGAGGGCUGGCAUCUUUUAGGCCCAUGGCAGCUCUCCCAGAUGAGUCCGUGAUCUGCAGAACAAAGCCUCUUCGGCUUGCAGGUCACUCAGGGAUCCCUUUGUUUCUCCUAAGCUCUUUGCCAUAAAGCCUACAUAGCUCUCCUCAGUUCCACCUGUACCACUGCCAUCUCCAGCCAGUCAAUAUCAGCCCUAUCAGCAAACAAACUCCAUUUUGCCUUUAGGCAAAGUGAUUGACAAUUGGCCCAUACACCCACUCUUUGCUUUACUCUUUCUACACCAGAGAGGAAGUAUCUCGUGGUUAUAAGAGUUAAAUGCACUUGGUUGAAUUCCACUGCAUGACCUUGGCCUCGUUACUGAAACUUUUUUCUUUUUUCUUUUUUUUUUUUUUAUUUAUGCUGCACAUGGGGCAUAUGGAAGUUCCUGGGCCAGGGACUGAAUCCAAGCCACAGCUAAGACGUACGCUGAAGCUGUGAUAGCGCUGGAUCCUUUAACCCAUUGUGCUGAUUCAAGGAUCAAACCCGUGUCUCCUAGUGACCUGAGCCACUGCAGUGGAAUUCUUAACCCACUGUGCCACAGCAGGAACUCCUAGUUACAGAAACUUUCUAAGCCUCAGUUUCUGUAUCUGUAACAUGGGAACAGUGAGCAUGUUCCUUGUAGGAUUAUUAUGCAACCAAGUGAGAUAAUGCAAGCGAAGUACUGUGCACAAUGCCUGGCUCAAUACAUUUUAUUUAUUAUUAUUUGUACUUAUUGCUCCUUCUCUAGCAUCCAUCCAAGUAGUGAAGUAAAUAGAACAGCUUAAAUUAUGCUUCUGGUAGUCUAUAUUUGUAGAACGAUCUAUUUCUUAAGUUACACAUUAAUUCAAGGCUUCAUUAAGUAGCUCAAUGCCUUGGGCAACAGAUUACUUAUAAAUAGUAUAAUAUUUAGUGGCUCCUGAGUUCUGCAGUCAGACAUUAUUAAUGGUCCAUGACUUAGAAUCAGGAUGAAGUUUAAACACGUGUCCCCAUCCACUCGGGUCCCCAUCUGCACACACACACACAUGUACACACACACAAGUGCACACAUGAGACGAUGGGGAAGACACCCCCCAGGCUGGUGCUCCCAGCAACACUUAUAAUUAUUUUUGGAAAAAGAAGAUUACGAUGAAAGGGGAAGAAAACCAACGUUUUCUUUCAAUGAACAUUGUAAAAAAGGAGUUCCCGUUGUGGCUCAGAGGGUUAAGAACCUGGCAUGGUGUCUUUGAGGAUCUAGGUUCAUUCCCUGGCCUCACUCAGUGGGUUAAGGAUCUGGCGUUGCUGCAAGCUGGGGGGUAGGUAGCCGACAUGGCUCAGCUCUGGCAUUGCCGUGGCUGUUGGGUAGGCAGGAAGCUGCAGUUCCUAUUUGACCCCUAGCCUGGGAGUUUCCAUAUGCUGCAGGUGCAGCCUUAAAAAGAAAAAAAAUAGUGCCAAAAAAACCGACCAACAUAGUCCAAGUGUUCAGUAAUAGGUUCACCGCUCCUUAUACCUAAUUAUCACCAAAGUAUCAGUUAAGGACCCCAUUUUUCAAGUGUGAAUAGCCCCCAAGGAUAAUUUAGAGUCUUUCACUUGGCAAAGGAAUAAAUGCAUUUCCCAGGAUCAUGUAAUCAUCUAUGGAAUUUAGGUAGAAAGAAGAUGGUAGCAAUUUAGAACAUUCAACAGAGGUUAUUCCGGCCUUCAGCUGUUUGGGGGAUGUGCGUGUGUGUGGGUACGUGUACGCAUGUGUGUCUUUUGUUGCGGACAGGCUACCCGAGGACAGAGUUGGCAGAAGAGAGGGUCAGAGUGGGCAUGUGGACACAUCCACGGGAAGCACACCUGGCUCAGUGGAACAGCCUUGAAGAAACCAAGGGCUUCAAAGAUGGUCUAGGCCUUCAAAGCAUAUCUUAGCUAAAGCUAGUUACACUAUGCAUUUUUUCCCACUGCAAACAGAGGACCCCACCAUUCUAAGGUCUCUGGGGUGACCGGAGGGAUGGCUAUUCCUCGCCUUCAAGCUCCUGGCAACUCUGAGCCCAGACAUCUUGGUCUGCCUCCCCCAGCCCUGGCCCCCACCCGUGAUCACUGCUCCUAACAAGGCUGGUCCACCCUUAAACUAUUCACUUGCUUCUGGGUACAGUCCAUUCUCUGUUUCCAUAAGUUGUGUGAAAAACCCUCUGGCCAGAGGAUGUUAGGGCUUCACUCUUUGCAGAAUGCAGGGGAUGUUGCCACAGAAAACACCAGAAUCUUGAUCCCUGUUCUGUUGGUUGCAGACCCUGGGUAAUUUCUACCACACUUUCUUUCUUGUGUUUCCCCGAAUCACAGUCAGCAUAAUCCUUAAAAACCAUGCUGUCGAAGUUGACUGCCUGGGAAACCGAGGUGCAGAAAGAAAAAGUCAUGGCCACAGGCAGCCGCAGUGACGAUCAAGGCCGAAGCCAGCCUCCCCUACCUGGUCCCGACCUUUUCUGCUGGAUCCUGGGCGGACUGCUUCUCCAGCACACGUAUCCACCUUUGCAUCCGGUGACCCAGAGCCUGCAUGAUGUCCCAGUCUUCCUGCUGUGCCUGGACAGGGAUGCUGGAUGAACUCAGCUAAACCUGUAAACCCACAGCACCAGUGCGCAGACUGUCUGUGCUAGUUGCUCCGCGUGUCCCUGAGCUGUUUCUGUGCUACUCGGUGGGAGGAGGCAGCCAGGUUAGACCCAAGCCGGUGCUUGUGGAUGGCAGCCCCACCCUGCGCCCAGCUGCCCCUUGGUCCCAGCAUCCCCAUCACCUCGGGAAGCCUAGAGAGCUGGGCCUCAAGCACCUGCUGACCUCUGCCCGGCAGAAGGCAUGGUGAUGUCACUGGGGUUAACAUUUCCUGCUUCCUCUUGGGACAGAUGGCUCCCCUUCCCUAUUGGGAGAGAAAGCUUUGGUGAGAGAUAAUAAUCCAGGCUUGCGGAGACCUGGGGGAGUGCUCAGAGGGGCCCAGGUCUGCACAGGUGAGGCAUGGGCUCAAGAGAAGGAGGAAGGCAGUUCUGUCCUUUUGUUAGAAAACCUCUAGUUUCUUCCUGGUUUGCCCUGUGACUUUCCAUGUGCAGAGUGUACGGGGCAGCGCUUCUUUCAAAAGGGAAGAACUGUGGGGUGGCUAAGGCCAGAGGAACGCCUACCAACCUGGUCCCGGGGGCAACGCGAACUUCCUAGCUGAUGCCAUGGAACAUCACGGCUGCUCAGACCCAUGUGAACACCCCAGUUCCAGACUGGAGACGGGACCAAGAGGUUCCCCUCACAGCAAGAUGCCUGCCUCUGCCACCCAGUUUUGCAACGACUUCCUCAGGGAAGGACCACAGUGUUUGCUGAGCACCUGUGCUGGCCAGGGUGAGGGCUUCCUGCCCAUCCAUUCCGGCGAGCAUCUCAAGGUCAGUAUCAAGGGGCGGUGGGUGCUUAGGGGAAAGAGCACAAUAAGCAGGGGCAGAGCAGGGAGAAUGAGGGGGAAUUUGCAUAGAGGAUGAAGGACAGAGGCAAAGGGAGGCAGGGUGAUUGGAGCCUGGGCAUCCUCACUGCCUGGGACAGCCGGGCAAUGCUAGGUCAGUGUUCCUGCCAAGAGCCAUUCUGUCUCGCCCUGCGGGGCCCCUAGACCAUCCCUCUCAGGGCCAUUAUACCCAGACAGAUGGCACACUUGCAUGCCCUGGUUGGAAACUGCUCAGCUAAGGAAUGGAAUGUUCUGGCCCCACCAAUUUGAUUUUCAAAUCACUUCCCUCUGAGCAGGAACCGCCCUCAGAGCCCCAAGGGCCCAGCUGACACUGAGAUUAGAGGGAGGGAAGGGGGACUCCCCCCAGUGCCACACACACCCUCUUCCAGCAUAUGCAUCAUUAUUUCUGCAAAAGAUUAAGAGGCGGAGAGGAUAGAGGGGUCAGAGGAGAUUAAGUGGCCAGGUUGGGGAAAGGGCAGGACUCCUGUUCUGGGGGCACGGAUGUUGGGGUGCUGGCGGAGUCAGGAUCCCGAUUUCUUACCCCAGCUGGUCAACAUGGGAAUCUGCUCAGGGUGAGGAGAGCUGGGCAACGCCCCCAGUCUAGCGUGGGGGCUCCACCAUUCCAAGAGCUCACCAAGUAUCUUUCCUGAUUCCGCCAGCAGGGGGCGAGGCUCCUCCAUCAGCCCUGAGCCUUGUCAAUCUCGCCUGCGGAUCAGAUUGGAGGAUGCCUGAUGGGGUGAUGCCUGGUCCGGGCGAUCUCUGAGAGUGGUCCCUGCUACCCUGCACACACCUCCUUCAGAGAUCUGAAGCCCUUGCUCAGAGGGUAGGGCUAAACUUCCAGUUCAUCUCAGGAAGCGAAACAGAGGGGCUUGCUGGCAUUCAUAGGAAAGUAAUGAGAAAACAGGCUCAGAGGGUGUGAGCCACUUGCCUGGUAAAUGACACGGCCUGGCUCGGAACCUUCAUCAGCCUGACUGCACACCAGUCUCCUGUCUGAGUGCCGUUCCAUCAGAUGACAAAUAGUAGGUCUUAGACACCAGAGAUAGGUCUGAGGGGAAGUGUGCGCCCCAGCCACCCCUCUCCCAGCCCACUCCACAUGCACACUUGCCUCCAGAGGCCACCCUGGAACAAAAGAGUCAAACUUUGUCAGCCACAUGCCCUGCUCCAGGAAAGCCUCUUUGAACACACCCACACCCCUGCCCUCCAUUCAGGGGCUUCUAGGAAGUGACACUGGUCCCGGAACAAGGGAAGAAUUCAAAUGGGUCUCUGAACUUGGGUGCAAGGGAUGCACCAUCAGAGUUAAAGCUGCUGACAGUUCCUCGGAGGGAGCCUGGAGCCCCGGGAUUUGGGAGACAGAUGUGACGAUCCUGCAGGUGAGCUGCCAGGAUAUUAAACCAAAGGACCACUCCCCAAAGUGCUGUGUGUGUGUCUGCGCCAAAGGCAGAAAGGGGCCCAGGACCCUGGGGAGCAUGCCUUCUUGAAGGGUCGUCUUCCAGGAGCCC